RNAcentral lists this ribosomal RNA (617 nucleotides) under uncultured Lake Michigan sediment bacterium LMBA45. Its description in RNAcentral is "bacterial SSU rRNA". It matches the Rfam family "Bacterial small subunit ribosomal RNA", at positions 853 to 1481 of the family's 1533-position model. The record is from RNAcentral. Lineage: Bacteria; Pseudomonadati; Pseudomonadota; Gammaproteobacteria.
UAACGCGUUAAGUCGUCCGCCUGGGAGACGNCCGCAAGGUUGAAACUCAAAGGAAUUGACGGGGACCCGCACAAGCGGUGGAGCAUUGGUUCAAUUCGAUGCAACGCGAAGAACCUUACCUGGCCUUGACAUCCGCGGAACUUGCAGAAAUGCCUUGGUGCCUUCGGGAAUCGCGAGACAGGUGCUGCAUGGCUGUCGUCAGCUGUGUCGUGAGAUGUUGGGUUAAGUCCCGCAACGAGCGCAACCCUUGUCCUUAGUUGCCACAUUAAGUUGGGAACUCUAAGGAGACCGCCGGUGACAAACCGGAGGAAGGUGGGGAUGAGUCAAGUCAUCAUGGCCCUUAUGGCCAGGGCUACACACGUGCUACAAUGGGCGGUACAAGGGUUGCCAACCCGCGAGGGGGAGCCAAUCCCAAAAAGCCGUUCGUAGUCCGGAUCGGAUCUGCAACUCGACUCCGUGAAGUCGGAAUCGCUAGUAAUCGCAGAUCAGCAUUGCUGCGUGAAUACGUUCCCGGGUCUUGUACACACCGCCCGUCACACCAUGGAAGUUGGUUGCACCGAAGUAGGUAGCCUAACCGCAAGGAGGGCGCUUACCACGGUGUGGCCAAUGACUGGGGU